Molecule: ribosomal RNA, 253 nt
Filed under: uncultured bacterium
Lineage: Bacteria
Description: partial 16S ribosomal RNA
Rfam family: Bacterial small subunit ribosomal RNA
Source: RNAcentral
CACGUAGGGGGCAAGCGUGUCCGGAUUUAUUGGGCGUAAAGAGCUCGUAGGCGGUUCGGUAAGUCGGGUGUGAAACCUCCAGGCUCAACCUGGAGACGCCACCCGAUACUGCUGUGACUCGAGUCCGGUAGGGGAGCGUGGAAUUCCUGGUGUAGCGGUGAAAUGCGCAGAUAUCAGGAGGAACACCAGCGGCGAAGGCGGCGCUCUGGGCCGGAACUGACGCUGAGGAGCGAAAGCGUGGGUAGCAAACAGG